GCGUCCUGAGCGCCGAGUGGAGUGCCUGGCCAGCCCCCCACGACGGACCUCUGACUAAGGACACUGCUCCUGCGACAUCAUCUAAGUCGCCAAAGACAAUCCUCACACCUUUAGAAAUGAUGUCUCAAAUCAUCAUCAAAGGCAGAGCAAGGCUUCUUUCGAUAGCAGGUGGAGAGCUCAAGUGGGUUCCAGCAAAAAACGUGAAGCCAUACCACGCAUCAAAGCCUGCCGACGCCUCCACACCAGCCAGUGACCCUGCAAGUGGAAGCCAGGAAGCAAGCACCCAGACCUGAAGUGCGCAGAAUCACCAGAAGAAAGUGAUCUGCCAAAAACAGCUCAAGAAAAGAAUGGAGUUUUCUCAUUUGCGCGCGUGCAUGUUGCUUUUAUUCUUAUGUUUUAGUUUUUGUAGUGAAGCUUUACCUGUAAAUCAACCAAAGACAAAUGUCUGGGUUGCCUUAGCCAAAUCUGCAGGCUCCGAUACCAU
Corvus hawaiiensis (hawaiian crow) is the source of this 484-nucleotide long non-coding RNA. RefSeq lists it as uncharacterized. The transcript is spliced from 3 exons. NCBI's taxonomy places the organism in Eukaryota, Metazoa, Chordata, Aves, Passeriformes, Corvidae. The record is from RefSeq and is a predicted model, not a curated record.